CCUUCUGUCCCCGAGGCUCCGGCGGUACACUGGAAACCUGGCAGCAGGGAAUGGCUAAAUUACUUGGGAGUCUUAAAUUUUGGUCUCUGGAAACGAAUGCACGAGCGGGUUAUCGCUGGAUUACUUCUGGGGCCCCCGCCCUCCCAGAUACGCUUGCAUUUCUCUCUCUGGUGUGGGCGGACUGACUUGAGUCUAGCCAGCGAGACCAAAUGUUAGUUCUCCAUUUCAGCACUUUAGACCCUUCCUGUCAAAACUUCAGCCUUAGCCCAACCACCAAACCAGGUGGUUCAGCUGGUGGCUUUUUGACCUAUUUCCUUUCGUAUUCAUUCCUUGAAAAUUAUGGCGUUAAAAAAUGGACAAGUACUAUGUGUUGUCUAAGUACGUUCUCCACGCAUUUAUGAGGCCGCCGCGCAAGGGGACAACAGCUCAGAAUCUGGAAAACUAUGACUUUUCCUGGAAUCCUGUUCUACCUUCACGGAGAGAGGCUGGAAGAAAUGUGCAGAAACAACUGUGCAAAUCUGGCUUCCUCUCCCAAGCUUACCUGCUUUGGGCAGAAGUGGCUUUAGCUUCCCCAUACUUCAUCUCGUUUUCACAAGAAGCCACAUGUCCUUAGAGGUUUACAAACACUUCAGCUUGUAAGAUACAUUUUUGCCAGACUCAGAGGACAGGAAGAGGUAUUUUCCCCCAAAUUCCUGUGAGCUACCGAGCCUUUCUGAAUUCUCCUGGUGGGCAGUUUCUUUAAAUGCCACCGGAUUCUCAGAUUGCUUUUUCACUUGGGUAGGCAAAAGCUGUGGUACUGUUGUGGCAUUAUUUAUUACUUCAUUUUAAAGUCUUUAGCUUUUAAGGUUUUCCUUUGAAGCCUUCCUUUCAUUGAGGAAGUGAAGUGUUAGCCAAGGUAAUGAUGCAAAUGUGGCUGUUCUGUGGAUGUGUGGAGACACCAAACAGAAACAUCUCAACUCUUCAGGAAAGAGGUCCAUCUGGUGAUGUCUCUCAGUAUUGGGACCUGUUAAUUUUGUAAAUCUAAAGUAAAUUCCUUUCUGCUUUCCCGACUCAAAACUGGUUUGCUUGAAAUGCAAGGGACAGUCAUCGUCAAAUAUUCCUAACAGAGCUUGUGCCACAGGAAGGCCCGGUGUGACUCGUGGAGGUGCUAGUGAUGAACUUGCCGUUUGCCAAUUCACUGCUUCUCCUUUGGGCUCACCAGGCGGCACAUUUAGUUGGGCAGGAAGUCAGCUGCUGUUGGGGAUUCUUGGGCUAUGCCUCCGCCUCUUGGCACAUCAGGUGGUAACCUGUUACGGGUGAGAUGCCUGAGGCCUCUCAGGGGCCAGGAGCCUCUGAUCCCACGCUGACAGGGUGGGAGGCAGGCUGAUUUUCUGACCAGAUUGGGGCACCAUUUCAGCCACUGGUCACAUUCCUCGCUUCAAACUGAAAUUCAGUUUAGCUUUGAGUAUAUGGACACGUGGUGGUGGAUUCAUCUACUUGUGUUUGUUUUGACCAAAAGUUUAUUUUUCUAGUGCAUUUUCUACGUCAAAGUGGUGAAAACAUGUAAUUUUAGUAUGCAUGACUGGGUCUUAAUAAAAGUCCUGUAAGGCUA
Callorhinus ursinus (northern fur seal) is the source of this 1591-nucleotide non-coding RNA. The record is from RefSeq and is a predicted model, not a curated record. Lineage: Eukaryota; Metazoa; Chordata; Mammalia; Carnivora; Otariidae.